CCUACGGGUGGCUGCAGUGGGGAAUAUUGGACAAUGGGGGGAACCCUGAUCCAGCGACGCCGCGUGAGUGAAGGAGUAUUUCGGUAUGUAAAGCUCUAUCAGCAGGGAAGAAAAUGACGGUACCUGACCAAGAAGCCCCGGCUAACUAAGUGCCAGCAGCCGCGGUAAUAGGUAGGGGGCAAGCGGUAUCCGGAUUUACUGGGUGUAAAGGGAGCGUAGACGGUGCAGCAAGUCUGAUGGGAAAGGUCGGGGCCCAACCCCGGGACUGCAUUGGAAACUGUUGAACUGGAGUACAGGAGAGGUAAGCGGAAUUCCUGGUGUAGCAGUGAAAUGCGUAGAUAUUGGGAGGAACACCAGUGGCGAAGGCGGCUUACUGGACAGUAACUGACGUUGAGGCUCGAAGGCGUGGGGAGCGAACGGGAUUAGAUACCCCGGUAGUC
RNAcentral lists this ribosomal RNA (440 nucleotides) under uncultured bacterium. RNAcentral's name for it is "partial 16S ribosomal RNA". It matches the Rfam family "Bacterial small subunit ribosomal RNA", at positions 338 to 795 of the family's 1533-position model. The record is from RNAcentral.